RNAcentral lists this ribosomal RNA (310 nucleotides) under uncultured bacterium. RNAcentral's name for it is "partial 16S ribosomal RNA". It matches the Rfam family "Bacterial small subunit ribosomal RNA", at positions 503 to 808 of the family's 1533-position model. The record is from RNAcentral.
AAGAGACAGCAGUAGCCGCGGGAAUACGUAGGGUGCGAGCGUUAAUCGGAAUUACUGGGCGUAAAGCGUACGCAGGCGGUUGUGUAAGACAGGUGUGAAAUCCCCGGGCUUAACCUGGGAACUGCGCUUGUGACUGCACAGCUAGAGUAUGGCAGAGGGGGGUGGAAUUCCACGUGUAGCAGUGAAAUGCGUAGAGAUGUGGAGGAACACCGAUGGCGAAGGCAGCCCCCUGGGCCAAUACUGACGCUCAUGCACGAAAGCGUGGGGAGCAAACAGGAUUAGAGACCCCCGUAGUCCCUGUCUCUAUACA